GUACACGCUGUGACUAGCAUAUCAAUAAGCGGAGGAAAAGAAACUAACAAGGAUUCCCCUAGUAACGGCGAGUGAAGCGGGAAGAGCUCAAAUUUGAAAUCUUAAAGGGUUUCCCUUUACGAAUUGUAGUUUAAAGAAGUGUUUUCUGUUGAGGUUUUGGUAAAAGUUCUUUGGAAUAGGAACAUCAUAGAGGGUGAGAAUCCCGUAUUUGACCUUUACUUUCAACUUUGUGAUACACUUUCAAAGAGUCGGAUUGUUUGGGAAUGCAGUCCAAAAUGGGUGGUAAAUUUCAUCUAAAGCUAAAUAUUGGCGAGAGACCGAUAGCGAACAAGUACCGUGAGGGAAAGAUGAAAAGAACUUUGAAAAGAGAGUUAAACAGUACGUGAAAUUGUCAAAAGGGAAGCGUUUGACACCAGUGUUGUUUUUCUGAAAAUCAAUUAAAGAACUGUUUAUGCUAAGCUGUUUAGACUUUAUCAGCUUAUCUGCACUUUUUUCUUAUCUUUUUUAAUGCACUUUUCGUUUAACAAGUCAACAUCAAUUUCUUUUGUUGUAAAAGAGUCAUUGGAAGGUGGCUUUUUCUUCGGAAAAAGUGUUUAUAGCCUUUGGCUUCUGCAAUCGGAGAGAUUGAGGUCUGCAGCGUAGAUCCUUCGGGGUUAGAUACAUUUGUGCUAAGCUAUAGUUCUUUAUAGACAACUUGUUGACUAUAAUCAAUCCUGUAACUUACUCGCUUAUGCUAUUUUACCUACGCUUAGGAUGUUGAUCUACAGAGCGAGAGU
RNAcentral lists this ribosomal RNA (776 nucleotides) under uncultured Neocallimastigales. RNAcentral's name for it is "partial large subunit ribosomal RNA". The stretch from base 4 to 695 matches the Rfam family "Eukaryotic large subunit ribosomal RNA", at positions 24 to 664 of the family's 3401-position model. The record is from RNAcentral. Lineage: Eukaryota; Fungi; Neocallimastigomycota; Neocallimastigomycetes; Neocallimastigales.